AUAAUCUAAUUGUCCUGAUACAAAGAUUGUUGCCUUUGCCCAGAGUCCUGAACAUCGACACUGAGAGAAUUAAUAAAAUGAUUUAAUUUGCAGAGCUACUUGUCCACUUAAGGAGGUGACUACCCACCUGUUUGCAGUACUGCCAAUCUCCUAAGGAAAAUAGAAUUUACGGUAAGUAAAAUUACUGUUUUCUUCCCAUCAUUCUGGUACAGGUUGAUCUUGGACGUUCCCUUACCGAACGUAGAGGUAGCCACUAAGCGUUCCAACUGCCGAACAGUAGCUGUACGGAUCAGUUAGUUCCCCAAACAGCCGAACAGCAAUCAUACGAAUCAAAUAUUCUCCCAAACAGCCGAACAAGCGUACUCCAUACGAAUAAUCCCCCAAUGACGAGACAAAGCUCCGUAUUGAGGGUCAGCAGGAAUCUGGUUUAAUGAGGGCCUGGUUUUUAUGCAAGUCUUCCAUCUGGUGGACACUCCCCUAGGGGACCAAAUGGGGGACUGUGACAAGGACAUUGUAGCAACCAAUCACAGGGUACACACUUAGCCAUUCCCUUUUUCUUACCUAGAAACCUCUGCUCUGCUCAGGGAGACAAUUGUGAAGUAAUUCAAUUAUCUCCCAGGACAGAGCCUAAACGCCAUUUUAGGUGACAAUAACAAAAAGACAUAAAAAUACAUAACUGUUACAUUUUACAAUAUAUUACAGGCAUUCAACAGGUCCCCAAAUAGCUAGGAUCUGAGCGCACCAAAGUACCGAAUAGCGCUCCGAUCCUUUGCACACAGUCCAAUCGCCAUGGAGCCAAAGUGUUCACAAAGUCAGUAUUCAUACGAAUAAGCUCCACGGGAUGCCUGUCUGGGGUUUGGUGUAUUCAGGUACAAACUAACGAAUAUAGGGCCGUUCGUGCCAAAAUGUAUCCGAUUUCAGUUCCAUGAGUUGGGCAUCGAACUCCGCUGUGCGUUCGCGUGUUUAAAAUGGCCGCGACCUCAUGUUCGGUAUACGAAUGGUGGCCACCCAACUACCGUAUCAAUUAAGAGGUGUCUGCGGUUAACCUCAACAUUCUGAUGGAGCCAAGAGGUUAACCGGCAGCACACUACUGGGUGGCCGGCCGUUCGGUAGUUUUAUUCGUUACAUAGAAAGGGAACGACAUAGAGUACACAGGAAGGAGGAAACAUGAAUCAAACAAACGAAUUACAAAUACGGUCAUUUCAGUUUAAGACAGAGGGAUCUGUCACACGGCUCCCCGUUUGUGGAACACUCCGGCAAACCCGGUUUGAUCCUUUAACGGGUCAACUUGGGGAUGCCCGGACCGAAGAACUGGAGUAGGGUCCGUAUGCCAUGAUAACCCAUCAGCAUUACCAUUGUGCUUACCGAGUCUGUAGGUGAUGGUAAGGUUGCAGGGCUAGGCUCCACCUUAGCAACCUGCCGUUGUCCCCUGUGACCUGGUUAAGCCAUACCAAAGGGUUGUGGUCUGUAAUCAAGGGGAAUUCUUGUCCAUAUAGGUAGGGAGUUAGUUUCUUAAGGGCCCAGACAAGGGCCAAACAUUCUUUUUCCACUGCCGCAUAACUCACUUCCCGUGGUAGUAAUUUCCUGCUCAUGUAUGCGACAGGGUGCUCUCCAUCCUCCCCGACCUGGCUUAGCACAGCCCCCAGUCCAAACAUGGAAGCGUCUGUAUGGACGAGAAAACUUUUAUUAUGUACUGGGGCAGCCAAGACGGAGGCAUUCACGAGGGCUUGCUUUAAGGCAUUGGUGCGGGGUGUGGGCCAGUUCGCUACUGCCUCCACCUUGGCUGGUUCAGGUCUCUGGCUUCCGCACCCCACCCUGUGUCCCAAGUACUGUACCUCUGCUAUGCCCAGAUGGCACUUAUCUUGCUUAAGGGUCAGGCCUGUGGCCUGACUCUUAUCCAGAACUACCCCUACAUACGUUAGGUGCUCUUCCCAAGACCCACUGUAGACCGCAAUGUCAUCUAGGUAUGCACAUGCAAAGUCCUGGAAUCCAUCAAGGAGUCUAUCCACCAUACGCUGGAAAGUAGCCACUUAUCCCGGCAAAUUAUGCAUCCCUGGAUAGACCUGAUCUGGGUGAACAACAUAUCCAAAAAUCACCCAGAUCAGAGCAGGGGUUCAAAAGUUUUGUGGAAGUCACAUCUGACUGACCACAAGCAUAGCUUUCAUGCCCAAAACUGUUCCACAGAUUUAGGCUGUGCGGCCGGUCUAUCUUCUCCUCUAUCCUGGAAAUAAUUGGCUAAAGUGGCUGUGGUAAGCCAAUUAUCUCCAGUAACAGGAAAUAUCUCGAAGUCCAAAAACUGUUACAAAAGCCACAUACAAAUACAUAACUCUUAUAAUACAAUGUUUAACCUAUUUGUCCAACAUAUCCCCAGAUAGCUAGGAUCUGAGCGCUCAAUAUGUAUGAAAAGUUCACAAAUACAGUUGGAUCGCCAUGGGAUUAAACAAUAGCAAGGGCUGAUGAGAGAUUGAGGAGGGACAUAGCAGCCAGUUUAAACUGGUCUGACAGUGUCCCUGGGACAACGCCCUGCUGGAGAACAAUGGACAGGAAAAAGUGGGAGGGGAAGAGGCACAUUUUCCCAUGGAUUUAAAGGGGCAGAAAAAGUUUUUUAAAAUCCAAUAAGUCACAGGGGCCAUAAUCACAGGGCAAAAGGCUAGCCAUUAGUCCUCUCCAAGAACAUGUGGCGAAGGGCACCUCGUCACAGCUAGUAAAUAGCUUCUUGUGAUGAGAAUUACCUGGCAGUUAUGUUCUGUUAGUGAUUGUUGGGAUGUGAACAAACUCAGAACAUGCCACCUUUAGUUAAUUAAUAGGUAUACUAUGAUUGGUUGCAGAGAAUCACCAUAAUAAAGAAAAUAUUUGAUUCUGAGUUGGGUGCUGCCCCACCCUCAAAAAAAUUAAAUAAUAGAAAAAAAUAAAAAAAAUAUGUGUGUGUGUGUAAUACCGUUGUAACGGAUCACCUGACACCCCGACUGGGUACCUCCGUUGAAGGAUGCUCGUAGCGCUUCCUGAGGACUCCAAGCACUGCAGCAGACACCACAACCACCGAACCGGAGAAGCAUAUGAAUGCUCUCAAGCAUAUGAAUGCUGUAAGCAGCUGAACAGGAAAAGCAUACAAUCAGCUUACACUCCUGGCUAUCAGCAUACAAUCCAAUUCCCCCAAUAACGAGACGACACUUCGUUUUGAGGUCAAGCAGAACUGCCUGUACUGGCACAUACAGCCUCUUUUAUUCACAAUCCACAAACCUAGUAAUUCCCACAGGGUUUUGAAAUACAACCAAUCAAUCCGUACAAUACACACAGACACUCCCACACAAAAUCCUCCCCUCUGCCUGUGAUAUGAUUACUGAACACAAUGGUUAAUAAAAUUAUCACAGGCAGAGAAAUACAGUAUUAUAAAACAUAUCACAGGGACCCCAAAACAUGUAAUAACCCCAUAAAAAUCCCAUCCUCGGAACCGGGGGAUCUGGGUGAACCACAUAUCCCAAAUUCACCCAGAUCCGUUCAGUAGUUUGGAAGAUACAGUUUAAUGCAGAUUACGCAGAACAUAUACAGGCUAUAUGAAAAAUAAUUACUGUAUAAUGUGUCCCCUGUUGUAUAGUUUACAACUACUGCACGAUGUCUUUGUGCACCAAAUACCGGCGAGAUGGCACCGUGUAGAAAAGUCCAAACAGUGUCUGUUAGUUAAAAUGGCUGCCAUCCAUUGUUCUCACCAUGUGCUUCAUCCAUUGUUCUCACUAUGUGCCUCUGAUACAUGAAAUGGUGGCCACCCAGUAACUCCACAGUUUGCCUGGUAGUCUAUCCAGCCGGACCAACAGAUGAAACACAUGGGGAACAGUGCAACAAAUGAAGGGAAUCAAAAGAAAUAUGGACAAUAGUCAUAUUUGUGCACAAUCUCCAGUUUUGUCACAGGGCACAAAUAGUGUUUUCAAAUGCCAUAUAUCCCAGGGCCAUAGUCAGAAGGUAGGAGGAGGGCAAGCAGCCCCCCCAAGAACACGUGGCGAGGUCUGUUCCGCCACAACCGUCAAAGAAACUUUAUUUGGAACUCAACCGCAGGUGAAUGAAUACAUAUAAUACUGUCAUUUUAAGAAAGUUUGAUUUAUUAAAAUGAGGUAUUUUAACUUUAGCAAUCAUCUGCAGCAAUAUAAAUUGCUUUCCCCACGUGCACUCAUCUGUCUGGCUAAAGACUUAUGACGCCGACCUCGGAGUAUGCUCCCUUUGAGGUUUCAUUAGAUUGAUCUCCUUGUGAGUUGUAAAUUAUAGCAGUCGCUCCUCUCUGAGUUUGCCGUAUAGGAAUUUUGCUGUUUGUCAGCUUGUCCUACUCCGUGUCCUACGUGAUCCCCACGGGGACCUAAAAACUAACAAUCUCUGCAAUGUUAACAUAAAGCUGAAACAUAUAUGUGAGAAAGUAUUUACAUCUCCCCCUCCCCUGCCCCCAUUUCCUGACUAUAAGAAUGGUAAGAUCUUUGACAUUUCUACUACUGUGUAGAAGGAGGGGGAGGGCUGACAUUGUCAAAUUAUUUGCAGACAUUAAAAAUGUGGAAUAAAUGCCUCACAGAGAAAAAUGUUCCUCUAAUACUUAAUUAUUCUUGCUGUCUAAAUAUAAGUAAGUAAAGGACUACAUAACAUUUUGUAAAGCGAAUUAAGUGUGUGUAUGCAAUUUGAUUGUGAAGAGGUUAAAGCACGCAAAAUAUUAAGUUACUUCUGAAUUCAUAUGAUGCUUCAAAGUCACAUUUCUAAUCUUUCAUGGAAAGUGUCAGUUUUGUUUUAUUAUUUAUAUUUUUGGUAAUAAAUUUAUGACGACCACUUUUUUUUUUUUUUUUUUUUAAUAAACCCCUCUACUUUUCUUUCAGGUUUCUGUCAGCUGAAGUUACCGUGAAGCACAUGAUAAGAACAGAAAUACAUUAAGCAAGACUAUGAAGAAAUCCUUUAAGAAAGGACCAAAGAUUCCAGCUCUCAAAUUUCAAGAAAUCUCUCAGAAUGUCUACAAAUGACAUAGUAAACGGAAAUAUAAAACAUUUUCCAUGUUCUGAAUGUGGGAAAUGUUUUAGCCGUUAUUCAAAAUUUGUUAUCCACUUCAGGACUCACACGGGAGAAAAACCUUUUUCAUGUUCUGAAUGUGGGAAAUGUUUUAAUCAGCGCUCAUAUCUUAUGAAACAUCAGAGAAUUCACAAAAUAGAUAAACCUUUCUAUUGUUCUGAGUGUGGGAAAAGUUUUCCCUGUAAUUCAGAUCUUGUGAGACAUCAGAAAACUCACACAGGAGAGAAACAGUUCUCAUGCUCUGAAUGUAGGAAAUAUUUUAGUCAACAGACGCAUCUUGUUAAACAUCAGCGAAUUCACUCAGGAGAGAAACCUUUCUCAUGCUCUGAAUGUGGGAAAUGUUUUGUUUGUAAAACACAACUAGUCAUACAUCAGAGAAUUCACACAGGAGAUAAAUCUUUCUUCUGUUCUGAAUGUGGGAAAAGUUUUGUUUGUAAAUCAGAACUUCUUAGACAUCAGAGAUUUCACACAGGAGAGAAACCAUUCUCAUGUUCUGAAUGUGAGAAAUGUUUUCACAGUAAAUUUGAUCUUGUUAGACAUCAGAUAACUCACACAGGCGAGAAACCUUUCUCAUGUACGGAAUGUGAGAAAUGUUUUAGUCGGCAUUCGCUUCUUAUUAGACAUCAGAGAACUCACACAGGAGAGAAACCUUUUUCAUGUUCUGAAUGUGGGAAAUGUUUUAACCGGCACUCCAUCCUUGUGACACAUCAGAGAACUCACACAGGAGAGAAACUGCUCUCAUGCUCUGAAUGUGGGAAAUGUUUUAGUCGGCGUGCACAUCUUCUUUUACAUCAGAGAACUCACACAGGGGAUAAACCUUUCUCAUGUUCUGAAUGUGGGAAAUGUUUUAGCCAGCGCUCAGUUCUUACAAAGCAUCAGGGAACUCACACAGGAGAGAAACCUUAUUCAUGUUCUGAAUGUGGAAAAUGUUUUCAAAGUAAAUCGGAUCUUGUUAGACAUGAGAGAACUCACACAGGAGACAAACCUUUCUCAUGUUCUAAAUGUGGGAAAUGUUUUAGCCAGCAUUCACAUCUUGUUGCACAUCAGAGAACUCACACAGGAGAGAAACCUUACUUAUGUUCUGAAUGUGGAAAAUCUUUUAGUCUUCAAACUAAUUUUAUUGCACAUCAAAGAACACACACAGGAGAGAAACCUUACUCAUGUUCUGAAUGUGGGAAAUGUUUUAUCCAGCGCUCAGAUCUUACCAAACAUCAGAGAACUCACAGGGCAGAGAUACAGAGUGCCUCCCACUUUUUAAGGGACCAAAAGUAAUGGGACAGAUUAGCAGUCAUAAAUCAAACUUUCACUUUUUAAUACUUGGUUGCAAAUCCUUUGCAGUCAAUUACAGCCUGAAGUCUGGAACGCAUAGACAUCACCAGACACUGGGUUUCAUCCCUGGUGAUGCUCAGCCAGGCCUCUACUGCAACUGUCUUCAGUUUCUGCUUGUUCUUGGGGCAUUUUCCCUUCAGUUUUGUCUUCAUCAAGUGAAAUGCAUGCUCAAUCGGAUUCAGGUCAGGUGAUUGACUUGGCCAUUGCAUAACAUUCCACUUCUUUCCCUUAAAAAACUCUUUGGUUGCUUCUGCAGUAUGAUUCGGGUCAUUGUCCAUCUGCACUGUGAAGCGCCGUCCAAUGAGUUCUGAAGCAUUUGGCUGAAUAUGAGCAGAUAAUAUGGCCCAAAACACUGCAGAAUUCAUCCUGCUGCUUUUGUCAGCAGUCACAUCAUCAAUAAAUACAAGAGAACCAGUUCCAUUGGCAGCCAUACAUGCCCACGCCAUGACACUACCACCACCAUGCUUCACUGAUGAGGUGGUAGGCUUUGGAUCAUGAGCAGUUCCUUUCCUUCUCCAUACUUUUCUCUUCCCAUCACUCUGCUACAAGUUGAUCUUGGUCUCAUCUGUCCACAGCAUGUUGUUCCAGAACUGUGAAGGCUUUCUUAGAUGUUGUUUGUCAAACUCUAAUCUGGCCUUCCUGUUUUUGAGGCUCACCAAUGGUUUACAUCUUGUGGUGAACCCUCUGUAUUCACUCUGGGGAAGUCUUCUCUUAAUUGUUGACUUUGACACAUAUACACCUACCUCCUGGAAAGUGUUCUUGAUCUGGCUAACUGUUGUGAAGGGUGUUAUCGUCACCAGGGAAAGAAUUCUUUGGUCAUCCACCACAGUUGUUUUCUGUGGUCUUCCGGGUCUUUUGGUGUUGCUGAGCUCAUCGGUGCAUUCUUUCUUUUUCAGGAUGUUCCAAACAGUUGAUUUGGCCACACCUAAUGUUUUUGCUAUCUCUCUGAUGGGUUUGUUUUGUUUUUUUCAGCCUAACGAUGGCUUGCUUCACUAAUAAUGACAGCUCUUUGGAUCUUAUAUUGAGAGUUGACAGCAACAGAUUCCAAAUGCAAAUAGCACACUUGAAAUGAACUCUGGACCUUUUAUCUGCUCCUUGUAAAUAGGAUAAUGAGGGAAUAACACACACCUGGCCAUGGAACAGCUGAGCAGCCAAUUGUCCCAUUACUUUUUGUCCCUUGAAAAGUGGGAGGCACAUAUACAAACUGUUGUAAUUCCUACACUGUUCACCUGAUUUGGAUGUAAAUACCCUCAAAUUAAAGCUGAUUUCCUUUCAAAUCCAUUGUGGUGGUGUAUAGAGAAAAAUAAUUAUUUUGAUGUCCCAAUAUUUAUGGACCUGACUGUAUAACAUGAUAAAUCGUAUAAACAUCAUUAAGAAUCAUAUUACCAAUAUUGAAC
RNAcentral lists this long non-coding RNA (7760 nucleotides) under Pelobates cultripes (western spadefoot toad). Lineage: Eukaryota; Metazoa; Chordata; Amphibia; Anura; Pelobatidae. The record is from RNAcentral.